CCUACGGGGAGCUGCAGUGAGGAAUAUUGGUCAAUGGACGAGAGUCUGAACCAGCCAAGUAGCGUGAAGGAUGACUGCCCUAUGGGUUGUAAACUUCUUUUAUAUGGGAAUAAAACGUUCCACGUGUGGGAUUUUGUAUGUACCAUAUGAAUAAGGAUCGGCUAACUCCGUGCCAGCAGCCGCGGUAAUACGGCGGAUCCGAGCGUUAUCCGGAUUUAUUGGGUUUAAAGGGAGCGUAGGUGGAUUGUUAAGUCAGUUGUGAAAGUUUGCGGCUCAAACGUAAAAUUGCAGUUGAAACUGGCAGUCUUGAGUACAGUAGAGGUGAGCGGAAUUCGUGGUGUAGCGGUGAAAUGCUUAGAUAUCACGAAGAACUCCGAUUGCGAAGGCAGUUCACUGGACUGCAACUGACACUGAGGCUCGAAAGUGUGGGUAUCAAACAGGAUUAGAUACCCUUGUAGUC
Molecule: ribosomal RNA, 460 nt
Filed under: uncultured bacterium
Lineage: Bacteria
Description: partial 16S ribosomal RNA
Rfam family: Bacterial small subunit ribosomal RNA
Source: RNAcentral